This 484-nucleotide ribosomal RNA is filed under the name uncultured bacterium. RNAcentral's name for it is "partial 16S ribosomal RNA". It matches the Rfam family "Bacterial small subunit ribosomal RNA", at positions 30 to 507 of the family's 1533-position model. The record is from RNAcentral.
AUUGAACGCUGGCGGCAGGCCUAACACAUGCAAGUCGAGCGGAUGAAGGGAGCUUGCUCCUGGAUUCAGCGGCGGACGGGUGAGUAAUGCCUAGGAAUCUGCCUGGUAGUGGGGGAUAACGUCCGGAAACGGGCGCUAAUACCGCAUACGUCCUGAGGGAGAAAGUGGGGGAUCUUCGGACCUCACGCUAUCAGAUGAGCCUAGGCCGGAUUAGCUAGUUGGUGGGGUAAAGGCCUACCAAGGCGACGAUCCGUAACUGGUCUGAGAGGAUGAUCAGUCACACUGGAACUGAGCCACGGUCCAUACUCCUACGGGAGGCAGCAGUGGGGAAUAGUGGACAAUGGGCGAAAGCCUGAUCCAGCCAUGCCGCGUGUGUGAAGAAGGUCUUCGGAUUGUAAAGCACUUUAAGUUGGGAGGAAGGGCAGUAAGUUAAUACCUUGCUGUUUUGACGUUACCAACAGAAUAAGCACCGGCUAACUUCGUG